Molecule: long non-coding RNA, 806 nt
Filed under: Phoenix dactylifera (date palm)
Lineage: Eukaryota; Viridiplantae; Streptophyta; Magnoliopsida; Arecales; Arecaceae
Description: long non-coding RNA (PDAC_LNC018047)
Source: RNAcentral
CGAAUGUUUCUCUUAUUAAAUGUGUAUCAGCCUCUAGAGGGAAGGGGUAGUUUAUACUAUGGUUCACGUCGUGUUCAUAUUACCACAAAAUUGCUUGGAGAUGUUGAUGUAAAGUAAAAUUGUAGAAAAAGAUGCUUUGACAACCUAACUGUACAAACUCCGUUACUGCCAUUUUUCACAAGCCUUUUCUUAGCCACACACUACAUCUCUAGUUUAUACUACUGUUGUUCGUUUCUUGCAAUGCUACUCACCACUUUUGUACUAAUUUUCUACUAAUUCUUUAAUAAAUUCAGGGGGAAGUUUUCCCUCCUUUUUGUUCCAAAGAGAAAUUGUAAUUAUGGCAUAAAGCGACCGAUAUUAGAAUUUGUAAUGACAAUGUCUGAACGAUAUAGAGUGCAAUUAGUGCAGCCUAGGUCCUUGAUGAAGAGGAAAUUAAAUUGCUAUUUCGGAUUUAUCUAACAUGAAUGGCAGACUGUCGACAACUUUUUAACAUAGUCCAUUGCAAGGUCCACUGUACCGACCAUACCGACGUAUCAGUGGGCACCGGUACCGGUACCAUACCGAACCGAACUGGUACUGUACCGAUUUAGCUGGUUCGGGCCAAAAGCCAAAAAAAAUUUGAGGUUGGACGGUACGGGCCAGUACCGGCUUGGUACAGGAUGGACGGGCCAGUUCUAGCUCGGUACGGGUCGGUACCGACCGGUACAGAUUGCGAAUAGUCAAACCGAAAAAUAUAGCUGUACCGUACCAGUUCCGUCCGGUACCGGUACAUACCGGCCCGUACCGAUCCAUACCGAUCGGUACGG